GUUUCCGURGUUGAAUAACAACGGUGGUUUUUCAAGCCACUAGUUCUGGUUAAAGUCCGGGGGGAAACU
Molecule: transfer RNA, 69 nt
Filed under: Citharoides macrolepis (twospot largescale flounder)
Lineage: Eukaryota; Metazoa; Chordata; Actinopteri; Pleuronectiformes; Citharidae
Description: tRNA-Glu
Rfam family: tRNA
About the family: Transfer RNA (tRNA) molecules are approximately 80 nucleotides in length.
Source: RNAcentral